CUCUUAGAUGGCAGGUGCACUGGGGACAGCUCUUAGAUGGCAGGUGCACUAGGGACAGCUCUUAGAUGGCAGGUGCACUGGGGACAGCUCUUAGAUGACAGGUGCACUGGGGACAGCUCUUAGAUGGCAAGUGCACUAGGGACAGCUCUUA
Long non-coding RNA from Oncorhynchus keta (chum salmon), 151 nucleotides. RefSeq lists it as uncharacterized. The record is from RefSeq and is a predicted model, not a curated record. The transcript is spliced from 3 exons. Lineage: Eukaryota; Metazoa; Chordata; Actinopteri; Salmoniformes; Salmonidae.